Molecule: ribosomal RNA, 782 nt
Filed under: uncultured bacterium
Lineage: Bacteria
Description: bacterial SSU rRNA
Rfam family: Bacterial small subunit ribosomal RNA
Source: RNAcentral
AGAGUUUGAUCCUGGCUCAGGAUGAACGCUAGCGGCAGGCCUAAUACAUGCAAGUCGAACGGUCCCUAGCAAUAGGGAUAGUGGCGCACGGGUGCGUAACGCGUAACCAACCUGCCCUUGACUGGGGGAUAGCCCGCCGAAAGGGGAUUAAUACCGCAUAAAACCACAGACCGGCAUCGGUUAAUGGUUAAAGAUUUAUUGGUCAAGGAUGGGGUUGCGUGCCAUUAGCUGGUUGGGGGGGUAACGGCCCACCAAGGCGACGAUGGCUAGGGGAGCUGAGAGGCUGGUCCCCCACACGGGCACUGAGAUACGGGCCCGACUCCUACGGGAGGCAGCAGUAGGGAAUAUUGGGCAAUGGGCGAGAGCCUGACCCAGCCAUGCCGCGUGCAGGACGAAGGCUUUCUGAGUCGUAAACUGCUUUUGCCAGGGAAGAAUAAGGUUCGUGCGCGGACCGACGACGGUACCUGGUGAAUAAGCACCGGCUAACUCCGUGCCAGCAGCCGCGGUAAUACGGAGGGUGCAAGCGUUGUCCGGAUUUAUUGGGUUUAAAGGGUGCGUAGGCGGCCGAUUAAGUCUGGGGUGAAAGCCCGUUGCUCAACAACGGAACUGCCCUGGAAACUGGUCGGCUUGAGUACAGACGAGGGCGGCGGAAUGGAAGGUGUAGCGGUGAAAUGCAUAGAUACCUUCCAGAACCCCGAUUGCGAAGGCAGCUGCCUAGACUGUAACUGACGCUGAGGCACGAAAGCGUGGGGAGCGAACAGGAUUAGAUACCCUAGUAGUCC